CCUACGGGAGGCAGCAGUAGGGAAUAUUGGGCAAUGGAGGCAACUCUGACCCAGCCAUGCCGCGUGCAGGAAGACGGUCCUCUGGAUUGUAAACUGCUUUUGAAUGGGAAGAAUGUGCUCCUUGCGAGGGGUAAUGACGGUACCAUUAGAAUAAGCCACGGCUAACUACGUGCCAGCAGCCGCGGUAAUACGUAGGUGGCGAGCGUUAUCCGGAUUUAUUGGGUUUAAAGGGUGCGUAGGCGGCUUAAUAAGUCGGUGGUUAAAAGUAGCAGCUUAACUGUUUUACAUGCCAUCGAUACUGUUGAGCUUGAGAUAUUUGGAGGCAGCUAGAAUUUCCGGUGUAGCGGUGAAAUGCAUAGAUACCGGAAGGAAUACCAAUUGCGAAGGCAGGCUGCUACGAAUAAACUGACGCUGAUGCACGAAAGCGUGGGGAUCAAACAGGAUUAGAUACCCUGGUAGUCCACGCCGUAAACGAUGAUUACUAGUUGUUGGGGUUUAAGCCUCAGUGACCAAGGGAAACCGAUAAGUAAUCCACCUGGGGAGUACGCCGGCAACGAGUGAAACUCAAA
RNAcentral lists this ribosomal RNA (569 nucleotides) under uncultured Bacteroidota bacterium. RNAcentral's name for it is "bacterial SSU rRNA". It matches the Rfam family "Bacterial small subunit ribosomal RNA", at positions 338 to 905 of the family's 1533-position model. The record is from RNAcentral. Lineage: Bacteria; Pseudomonadati; Bacteroidota.